AUUGAACGCUGGCGGCAUACCUUACACAUGCAAGUCGAACGGCAGCGGGGGAGAAGCUUGCUUUUCCUGCCGGCGAGUGGCGAACGGGUGAGUAAUACAUCGGAACGUGCCCUGUAGUGGGGGAUAACUAGUCGAAAGAUUAGCUAAUACCGCAUACGACCUGAGGGUGAAAGUGGGGGACCGCAAGGCCUCAUGCUAUAGGAGCGGCCGAUGUCUGAUUAGCUAGUUGGUGGGGUAAAGGCCUACCAAGGCGACGAUCAGUAGCUGGUCUGAGAGGACGAUCAGCCCAACUGGGACGGAGACACGGCCCAGACUCCUACAGGAGGCAGCAGUGGGGAAUUUUGGACAAUGGGCGAAAGCCUGAUCCAGCAAUGCCGCGUGUGUGAAGAAGGCCUUCGGGUUGUAAAGCACUUUUGUCCGGAAAGAAAUGGCUCUGGUUAAUACCUGGGGUCGAUGACGGUACCGGAAGAAUAAGGACCGGCUAACUACGUGCCAGCAGCCGCCGUAA
This 508-nucleotide ribosomal RNA is filed under the name uncultured bacterium. RNAcentral describes it as "partial 16S ribosomal RNA". It matches the Rfam family "Bacterial small subunit ribosomal RNA", at positions 30 to 523 of the family's 1533-position model. The record is from RNAcentral.